CCAAUAGCGUAUAUUAAAGUUGUUGCAGUUAAAAAGCUCGUAGUUGAAUUUCGGAAUCUGUCCAUCGGUCGGGCUUCACUGUCCGUACUGGUGUGGUGGGUUCCUACCUUCUGAAUAACCAGCAUGCCAUUAAUUUGGUGCGUUGGGGAAGCAGGACUAUUACCUUGAAAAAAUUAGAGUGCUCAAAGCAGGCCAGUGCCUGAAUACAUUAGCAUGGAAUAAUAAAAUAGGACGGCAUGGUUCUAUUUUGUUGGUUUCUAGGAUCACCGUAAUGAUUAAUAGGGAUAGUUGGGGGCAUUAGUAUUCAAUUGUCAGAGGUGAAAUUCUUGGAUUUAUUGAAGACUAACUUCUGCGAAAGCAUUUGCCAAGGAUGUUUUCAUUAAUCAAGAACGAAAGUUAGGGGAUCGAAGACGAUCAGAUACCGUCGUAGUCUUAACCAUAAACUAUGCCGACUAGGGAUCGGACGAUGUUAAUUUUUUAAUGACUCGUUCGGCGCCUUACG
This 502-nucleotide ribosomal RNA is filed under the name uncultured Glomeromycotina. RNAcentral's name for it is "partial small subunit ribosomal RNA". It matches the Rfam family "Eukaryotic small subunit ribosomal RNA", at positions 591 to 1092 of the family's 1831-position model. Lineage: Eukaryota; Fungi; Glomeromycota. The record is from RNAcentral.